Molecule: ribosomal RNA, 483 nt
Filed under: uncultured bacterium
Lineage: Bacteria
Description: partial 16S ribosomal RNA
Rfam family: Bacterial small subunit ribosomal RNA
Source: RNAcentral
GACGAACGCUGGCGGCGUGCUUAACACAUGCAAGUCGAACGCUGAAGCUCAGCUUUUGUUGGGUGGAUGAGUGGCGAACGGGUGAGUAACACGUGAGUAACCUGCCUCCUUCUUUGGGAUAACGCCCGGAAACGGGUGCUAAUACUGGAUAUUCACUGGUCUUCGCAUGGGGGUUGGUGGAAAGGGUUUUUCUGGUGGGGGAUGGGCUCGCGGCCUAUCAGCUUGUUGGUGGGGUGAUGGCCUACCAAGGCUUUGACGGGUAGCCGGCCUGAGAGGGUGACCGGUCACAGUGGGACUGAGAUACGGCCCAGACUCCUCCGGGAGGCAGCAGUGGGGAAUAUUGCACAAUGGGCGCAAGCCUGAUGCAGCGACGCCGCGUGAGGGAUGGAGGCCUUCGGGUUGUGAACCUCUUUCGCUCAUGGUCAAGCCGCAACAAUGGUUGUGGUGAGGGUAGUGGGUAAAGAAGCGCCGGCUAACUACGUG